This 337-nucleotide ribosomal RNA is filed under the name Acinetobacter baumannii. Its description in RNAcentral is "partial 23S ribosomal RNA". It matches the Rfam family "Bacterial large subunit ribosomal RNA", at positions 504 to 840 of the family's 2925-position model. Lineage: Bacteria; Pseudomonadati; Pseudomonadota; Gammaproteobacteria; Moraxellales; Moraxellaceae. The record is from RNAcentral.
UGAGGGAAAGGUGAAAAGAACCCCGGAAGGGGAGUGAAAUAGAACCUGAAACCCUGUGCCUACAACCGGUCGGAGCACUUUAUAUGUGUGACGACGUGCUUUUUGUAGAACGAGCCAACGAGUUACGAUAUGUAGCGAGGUUAAGUACUUAAGGUACGGAGCCGAAGGGAAACCGAGUCUGAAUAGGGCGCAUAGUUGCAUGUCGUAGACCCGAAACCGGGUGACCUAUCCAUGGCCAGGAUGAAGCGACAGUAAAAUGUCGUGGAGGUCCGAACCACGUUGGUGUUGAAAAACCAUGGGAUGAGCUGUGGAUAGCGGAGAAAUUCCAAUCGAACUC